Molecule: long non-coding RNA, 209 nt
Filed under: Physcomitrium patens
Lineage: Eukaryota; Viridiplantae; Streptophyta; Bryopsida; Funariales; Funariaceae
Description: long non-coding RNA (PPAT_LNC010437)
Source: RNAcentral
UUGCUCAGUGUCUACCUCAUGAUCUUAUUGCUCUUCUUGCUAGCCCCUCGCACAUUAGCUACUUGCUUACAACACUUGUUUCACUCUCUGUUGUGCUUGUUUAGAAUACUUGCUUAGAAUAUUUGAUCCAACUUAGCUUCACCUUGUUCCUGCUGUGCCCUAUGCUUGCUGCCAAACUAUCACCGAGUUACUGCCAAACUGUCGACAAA